CCGUGUCGUGUUCGCGUCGCGGAAGAAUAGGGAAUCAGGUGAAAAUCCUGAACAGACCCGCUGCUGUGAGUUCCAUCAAACGAUUCGCACACAUACUUUUGCCACUGUUCUGAUUUUUUGAAGAAUGGGAAGGCGUGUGAAUCGGGAACGAGUCAGAAGACCUGCCAAAUAUGUU
RNAcentral lists this non-coding RNA (175 nucleotides) under pig gut metagenome. The record is from RNAcentral.